GCCAGCGUGGCCUAGUGGUUUGAGCAUUGGGCUGUGACUCUGGAGACCAGGGUUCAAAUUCCCCACUCAGCCA
Molecule: non-coding RNA, 73 nt
Organism: Phrynosoma platyrhinos (Desert horned lizard)
Lineage: Eukaryota; Metazoa; Chordata; Lepidosauria; Squamata; Phrynosomatidae
Source: the annotation of a GenBank genome assembly